RNAcentral lists this ribosomal RNA (2683 nucleotides) under Escherichia coli 2-474-04_S3_C3. RNAcentral's name for it is "partial 23S ribosomal RNA". Lineage: Bacteria; Pseudomonadati; Pseudomonadota; Gammaproteobacteria; Enterobacterales; Enterobacteriaceae. The record is from RNAcentral.
CUAAUCAAAAAAGAGCAGGAGUGCUUUUCCAUCUAUUGCGAUGAUGGCUUUAUUAUCUGAAGGAUGACAGUCACAUUUAAAAAAUAUUUAAUCUAUAGAUCACAAUGUAGGGUCAUGGAAUAUAUGUAUACAACUAUUUUCUUCUUCACUUUUAAUUAUCGUAUUCAUUAUAAAACUAAGUUAAAAAAACUCCUGGAGAGUGAGUUAUUAAUAUAUUUUUAAAUAAAAUUAAGUUAUCAUUCAUCGAUGCACUUUAUAGAAUCAUCAAUGGCCAUAAUAGUACUAUUAACUCUCAAUUUUAUAUUUUUAUCAUCACUACAAAUAUUAACUGAAUUUAUAUCAAUGAUUUUUUUUAUUCUUAUCUUUUAUUUUAUUUACUGUUUCAAUGCAAUCAGCGGCAAGUUGGAGUGGAUUUAGAUUUUUCAGAUAUGGUCUUAUGAUCUUUCCCUUACUUAAUAAAUAGCAUGUAUAGGAUUCGGAAAGUCCAGCAUCUAUUUUGUACCUCCUUAUAUUAGAUAAGGAUGUGAGAAAUUCCUUGUUAUCAUUCGCAGCCAUAUAUGCCAGUCCGAGUUCAGCCUCUGCGGCCUUACAGGCAAAAUAGCUUAGUGAACACGCUUUUCGUCCCUCUUUAGUACUGGCUGAUAUUAGUGCCCAUAAUAUUGCUUUGUCUGCCAAAUCUAACUCUCUCUGAAAUUGUCUUGCAGUAACUGCACUCGCAGAAAUAGAGAAAAAAAUACAAUUGUUAAUAACCUUGCCAUAUUUUUUAGUCCGUAACUGUUAAUGUGCUAUCUGGCUCUGAAAAUAUUAACUCAUUUAAUUUUUGCAUGUCAUUAGAUAAACCAGUUAUACAACCCUCGGAACAGAAUCGAGGUCCUAAAGACGGACCAAAAGCGUUUAAACAACUAUGUAUUGAAAAUCCAUUGCGAUUAUAAGUUCCUGUAUUAACUGACGGUACUAAUCGUAUGCCGUCAGGUUUUCUAUUGCUUGCUCCCGGGUCAUUAACAUUCCAACUCCAUAGGCCUUGAGGUAUUGGCCAUCUAUUUAUAAAUGUGUACAACGGGGAUUAUUUUUACAUUGCAUAUUAUUACCAGAAGCGACUGGAAUACUAAGCACAUCAUAAAAAUUAUCAUCACAUGGUAUAUCUGAAACACACGAAAGCAUACCUAAAGUUAUGCUGUAUAAACAGGUGGCUAAUCCCAAGGGGAUCGAUUCCAGAAAUCGGGUUCAACGGAUACUGAUAAAAAUUCCACCUACCUUCCAGCCCAAUCGGAGCCUGAGUGUUAUACCGCCCCUGCUGCGGUUAAUGUUACCGAUAAUAGUUAUAGUACAGCCCUGAUUCAUCAUCAUACUACUGCUGCGGCAGUCUGAUGAACUAUUGCUUUUACGGAUUCUCCUUAUUCUUCCUUCUAUCCAUUCGCUUUAGCUUUUUGAGCUCUUGAAGUUUGCUCUUUGCAUCAAUAUUACCGUUAUUUACAGCGAAUUCCAUCCAAUAAAUAGCUCUAUUCAAAUUAUAAUAUUCUGAUAAUGUUGGAUUUGUAUCUGAUAAAAAGACCCCAUAAUUAAACUGCGCUGUAACAUUCCCCUGAGAUGCUGAUCUUUCCAAGAAUCGCAAUUGUUUGUAAAUGUUAUUUUUAGUAAAGCAGUAAUAUUGAUAUAGUCGAAAUGAUGCCUCUGAAUCACCAUGUUGUGAUUUAUACUUCAGUUUCAUCAACUUUUCUUCACUUAAAUCAUAGGUCAUUGCUGUAGACCCCAUCAUACUUUCGUUUUGUUUUAUUUUCACAUCAGCACCAUGCAAUUGACAAAUAAAAGAGAAAUAAAAAAAUAGUAACAAGCAUGCUUUCAUACAUCUACAACCUAUCUUAUAUCACUGGGUUUUUCUGGCGUACCUUGCAUAUUAGAAAUGGGGUGCCCAGAUGGCCCAUAUGUUAUCCAAUUACCAAGGUCUUUUGUUGUUAUAGCCAUUAGAUCCUUAUUUGAAUUAAGGUUCGUUGGUGCUGUUAGCACUGUAUCCAUUUUUAACUUACCAUUAGUUCCUCGCCCCCACCACGUCCAUAGCGUGUCAGGUCCUAUUACAUUUGUAUGUAACUCUUUAGCUAAUUGGCUAGCAAAUGAAUUUUGUCCUUUACCUGUAUUACAAGAAAAUAACCAAACUGUCAUCCCAUCUUUAUAAUUCCCAUCAAAUUUAAUUAGAUAUGCUAGAUCUUUAGCUGUCAUGAUACUGCGCGUUGCGGAUUCAAUAGAUGUGGGGGUACCAUGCCCCCCGAUUGUGAAAACGCCUGGGAUAUUAAUCUCAUCAGCUACAGAAUGGAUAAGAUCACUUUCGGGGUAUAAAUUUAUAUCAACCAAACCUUGCGGAUCUACAUUUAUGACCGGAUUCAACGGAUACUGAUAAAAAUUCCAUCCCCCCUUCAGCCCAAUCGGAUCCUGAGUGAUAUACCGCCCCUGCAGCGGGUCAUAAUAGCGGUGGCGGUUGUAAUACAGGCCGGACUCCUCAUCAUACUGCUGCCCCGGCAGCCGGAUAAGCUGCUGCAGCUGAUGCGGGUUCUCUUCAUUCAGCAGGUUGCCCCAUUCAUCAUAUUCUGCGCACCACGCUGUUGCCCCUUCCGUGCUGAUGAGCGCCAGCGGCAGGCCGCGAUGGUCGCAGUGGUACAGGUGGAUUUUUCGCGCCGGCGUGUACACCGGG